GGCGUGCUUAACACAUGCAAGUCGAACGGAAAGGCCCUGCUUUUGUGGGGUGCUCGAGUGGCGAACGGGUGAGUAACACGUGAGUAACCUGCCCUUGACUUUGGGAUAACUUCAGGAAACUGGGGCUAAUACCGGAUAGGAGCUCCUGCUGCAUGGUGGGGGUUGGAAAGUUUCGGCGGUUGGGGAUGGACUCGCGGCUUAUCAGCUUGUUGGUGGGGUAGUGGCUUACCAAGGCUUUGACGGGUAGCCGGCCUGAGAGGGUGACCGGCCACAUUGGGACUGAGAUACGGCCCAGACUCCUACGGGAGGCAGCAGUGGGGAAUAUUGCACAAUGGGCGGAAGCCUGAUGCAGCAACGCCGCGUGCGGGAUGACGGCCUUCGGGUUGUAAACCGCUUUCGCCUGUGACGAAGCGUGAGUGACGGUAAUGGGUAAAGAAGCACCGGCUAACUACGUGCCAGCAGCCGCGGUGAUACGUAGGGUGCGAGCGUUGUCCGGAUUUAUUGGGCGUAAAGGGCUCGUAGGUGGUUGAUCGCGUCGGAAGUGUCAUCUUGGGGCUUAACCCUGAGCGUGCUUUCGAUACGGGUUGACUUGAGGAAGGUAGGGGAGAAUGGAAUUCCUGGUGGAGCGGUGGAAUGCGCAGAUAUCAGGAGGAACACCAGUGGCGAAGGCGGUUCUCUGGGCCUUUCCUGACGCUGAGGAGCGAAAGCGUGGGGAGCGAACAGGCUUAGAUACCCUGGUAGUCCACGCUGUAAACGGUGGGUACUAGGUGUGGGGUCCAUUCCACGGGUUCCGUGCCGUAGCUAACGCUUUAAGUACCCCGCCUGGGGAGUACGGCCGCAAGGCUAAAACUCAAAGGAAUUGACGGGGCCCCGCACAAGCGGCGGAGCAUGCGGAUUAAUUCGAUGCAACGCGUAGAACCUUACCUGGGUUUGACAUGGAUCGGGAGUGCUCAGAGAUGGGUGUGCCUCUUUUGGGGUCGGUUCACAGGUGGUGCAUGGCUGUCGUCAGCUCGUGUCGUGAGAUGUUGGGUUAAGUCCCGCAACGAGCGCAACCCUUGUUCACUGUUGCCAGCACGUUAUGGUGGGGACUCAGUGGAGACCGCCGGGGUCAACUCGGAGGAAGGUGGGGAUGACGUCAAGUCAUCAUGCCCCUUAUGUCCAGGGCUUCACGCAUGCUACAAUGGCUGGUACAGAGAGUGGCGAGCCUGUGAGGGUGAGCGAAUCUCGGAAAGCCGGUCUCAGUUCGGAUUGGGGUCUGCAACUCGACCUCAUGAAGUCGGAGUCGCUAGUAAUCGCAGAUCAGCAACGCUGCGGUGAAUACGUUCCCGGGGCUUGUACACACCGCCCGUCAAGUCAUGAAAGUUGGUAACACCCGAAGCCGGUGGCCUAACCGUUGUGGGGGAGCCGUCGAAGGUGGGACUGGUGAUUAGGACUAAG
RNAcentral lists this ribosomal RNA (1437 nucleotides) under uncultured organism. RNAcentral's name for it is "16S ribosomal RNA". It matches the Rfam family "Bacterial small subunit ribosomal RNA". The record is from RNAcentral.